This 492-nucleotide ribosomal RNA is filed under the name uncultured soil bacterium. Its description in RNAcentral is "bacterial SSU rRNA". It matches the Rfam family "Bacterial small subunit ribosomal RNA", at positions 26 to 523 of the family's 1533-position model. The record is from RNAcentral.
AGAUUGAACGCUGGCGGCAUGCCUUACACAUGCAAGUCGAACGGUAGAGUAGCAAUACUUGAGAGUGGCGAACGGGUGAGUAAUAUAUCGGAACGUGCCCAGUCGUGGGGGAUAACGUAGAGAAAUUUACGCUAAUACCGCAUACGAUCUAAGGAUGAAAGCGGGGGACCGUAAGGCCUCGCGCGAUUGGAGCGGCUGAUAUCAGAUUAGGUUGUUGGUGAGGUAAAAAGCUCACCAAGCCGACGAUCUGUAGCUGGUUUGAGAGAACGACCAGCCACACUGGGACUGAGACACGGCCAGACUCCUACGGGAGGCAGCAGUGGGAAUUUGGACAAUGGGCGAAAGCCUGAUCCAGCAAUGCCGCGUGCAGGAAGAAGGCCUUCGGGUUGUAAACUGCUUUGUACGGAACGAAACGUCUGCUUAUACAGUGGCUAAUGACGGUAACCGUAAGAAUAAGACACCGGCUAACUACGUGCCACGCAGCCGCGGUAA